ACUACGGGCGGCAGCAGUGAGGAAUAUUGGUCAAUGGGCGUAAGCCUGAACCAGCCAAGUCGCGUGAGGGAUGAAGGUUCUAUGGAUCGUAAACCUCUUUUAUAAGGGAAUAAAGUGCGGGACGUGUCCCGUUUUGUAUGUACCUUAUGAAUAAGGAUCGGCUAACUCCGUGCCAGCAGCCGCGGUAAUACGGAGGGUCCGAGCGUUAUCCGGAUUUAUUGGGUUUAAAGGGUGCGUAGGCGGCCUUUUAAGUCAUCGGGGAAAGUUUGGGGCUCAACCAUAGAAUUGCCGUUGAAACUGGGAGGCUUGAGUAUGUUGAAGGCAGGCGGAAUGCGUGGUGUAGCGGUGAAAUGCUUAGAUAUCACGCAGAACCCCGAUUGCGAAGGCAGCCUGCCAAGCCAUGACUGACGCUGAUGCACGAAAGCGUGGGGAUCAAACAGGAUUAGAUACCCCGGUAGUC
This 460-nucleotide ribosomal RNA is filed under the name uncultured bacterium. Its description in RNAcentral is "partial 16S ribosomal RNA". It matches the Rfam family "Bacterial small subunit ribosomal RNA", at positions 338 to 795 of the family's 1533-position model. The record is from RNAcentral.